RNAcentral lists this ribosomal RNA (449 nucleotides) under uncultured bacterium. Its description in RNAcentral is "bacterial SSU rRNA". It matches the Rfam family "Bacterial small subunit ribosomal RNA", at positions 29 to 465 of the family's 1533-position model. The record is from RNAcentral.
AACGAACGUUAGCGGCGCGCCUAACACAUGCAAGUCGCACGAGAAAGGGGGCAACCCCCGGUAAAGUGGCGCACGGGUGAGUAACACGUAGGUAAUCUGCCCUCGAGUGGGGGAUAACCUUCCGAAAGGAGGGCUAAUACCGCAUGAGACCACGAGGUCGAGAGGCCAUGAGGUCAAAGCCGGCCACUUCACGAAAGCUGGCGCUUGAGGAUGAACCUGCGGCCCAUCAGCUAGUUGGUAGGGUAACGGCCUACCAAGGCAAAGACGGGUAGCUGGUCUGAGAGGAUGAUCAGCCACACUGGAACUGAGACACGGUCCAGACUCCUACGGGAGGCAGCAGUGGGGAAUCUUGCGCAAUGGGCGAAAGCCUGACGCAGCGACGCCGCGUGGGUGAUGAAGGCCUCGGUUGUAAGACCUCGUGGAGGGGACGGAAGUAAGUACGGAGUUAA